This 1071-nucleotide ribosomal RNA is filed under the name Rhizophagus intraradices. Its description in RNAcentral is "partial large subunit ribosomal RNA". It matches the Rfam family "Bacterial large subunit ribosomal RNA", at positions 786 to 1851 of the family's 2925-position model. The record is from RNAcentral. Lineage: Eukaryota; Fungi; Glomeromycota; Glomeromycetes; Glomerales; Glomeraceae.
CCGUUGCAAGGGACUCCGAAGAGCUGUGGCAAGGGGUGAAAAGCCAAUCUAACCUGGAGAUAGCUGGUCUUCUGCGAAACCCGUUUUAGCGGGUCGCCCAUUUAUUGAAAUUAAAUUCGUUACUAGACGGUACGGCACUGGAAGCCACGCAGCUUUUGCUGCAUAAUCGGGGGGCUGUCAUGGCUCUAUCGAUGGCUUCUAACCCCGGAAAUGUAUAGUAUACAAUGAUGGGCAAUCAGACGUAUCGUGAUAAGGCGAUUCGUCAAAAGGGCAACAGCCCAGAACAGGUGUGAAGGUCCCUAACAAGCUACUGAGUGAACACAAGGCAGUCCUCUCCAGUGUCUCUCCACAAGGUGGGCUUGGAAGCAGCCACCUUUUAGCGAUAGCGUAACAGCUCAGUGGUCUGAGCCUCCCUGUAAAAAGGGAAUAUUGCCUGGUGAGGGCGCCAAAAAUGUAACGGGUCUAUAGUAGUUGUCUCUCUGUUCCAGCUUUGGAUAUGGAGGGAGUGGCAGUUUCUUCACUGUCUCACCGAAACCCUGUCCUAGAUGUCAAAUUCUAGGGGUAGCAGAAUACCCAGCAAAUGGAAUGAAGCUUGCUCAUUGAGCCGGUGGACAUAGCUGGGCUAAGAAUGCUGACAUGAGUAGCCUAAAAGGAGGGUAAUUCCCUCUUCGCCGAAAGCAGAAGGGUUUCAUUUGUAAGGUCUAUACCUAGAUGAUUAAAGCAGCGGCCUCUAAGGUUCAGAGUAACAAAUUAGUUCCGAUGAGUAACUCUUCUAUAGGGCAGUAACCUUCCUUAUAAGUUUACCUUCAAGUAAUUAGAGGUAUACUUUAAAGAGUAAGGUUCGGGAAAGAGCCCUACAGAAUCAAUCUUAAAACCGUACCCUAAACCGACACAGGUCUGCAAGUAGAGCAUACUAAGGCGUAGAGAUAAUCGUCUUGAAGGAACUCGGCAAAAUGACCCCGUAACUUCGGGAGAAGGGGUGCCACUAAUAAGUGGCGGCACUAAACGGGGGGGCGCGACUGUUUACUUAAAACACCGGACUCUGCUAACACUAGCGUGGAUGUAUAGAGU